GACGAACGCUGGCGGCGUGCUUAACACAUGCAAGUCGAACGGAAAGGCCCUGCUUUUGUGGGGUGCUCGAGUGGCGAACGGGUGAGUAACACGUGAGUAACCUGCCCUUGACUUUGGGAUAACUUCAGGAAACUGGGGCUAAUACCGGAUAGGAGCUCCUGCUGCAUGGUGGGGGUUGGAAAGUUUCGGCGGUUGGGGAUGGACUCGCGGCUUAUCAGCUUGUUGGUGGGGUAGUGGCUUACCAAGGCUUUGACGGGUAGCCGGCCUGAGAGGGUGACCGGCCAUAUUGGGACUGAGAUACGGCCCAGACUCCUACGGGAGGCAGCAGUGGAGAAUAUUGCACAAUGGGCGGAAGCCUGAUGCAGCAACGCCGCGUGCGGGAUGACGGCCUUCGGGUUGUAAACCGCUUUCGCCUGUGACGAAGCGUGAGUGACGGUAAUGGGUAAAGAAGCACCGGCUAACUACGUG
Molecule: ribosomal RNA, 468 nt
Filed under: uncultured bacterium
Lineage: Bacteria
Description: partial 16S ribosomal RNA
Rfam family: Bacterial small subunit ribosomal RNA
Source: RNAcentral